UAGGGAAUCUUCCACAAUGGGCGCAAGCCUGAUGGAGCAACGCCGCGUGUGUGAUGAAGGGUUUCGGCUCGUAAAACACUGUUGUAAGAGAAGAAUGACAUUGAGAGUAACUGUUCAAUGUGUGACGGUAUCUUACCAGAAAGGAACGGCUAAAUACGUGCCAA
Molecule: ribosomal RNA, 164 nt
Filed under: uncultured bacterium
Lineage: Bacteria
Description: partial 16S rRNA
Rfam family: Bacterial small subunit ribosomal RNA
Source: RNAcentral